GACGAACGCUGGCGGCGUGCUUAACACAUGCAAGUCGAACGGAAAGGCCCUGCUUUUGUGGGGUGCUCGAGUGGCGAACGGGUGAGUAACACGUGAGUAACCUGCCCUUGACUUUGGGAUAACUUCAGGAAACUGGGGCUAAUACCGGAUAGGAGCUCCUGCUGCAUGGUGGGGGUUGGAAAGUUUCGGCGGUUGGGGAUGGGCUCGCGGCUUAUCAGCUUGGUGGUGGGGUAGUGGCUUACCAAGGCUUUGACGGGUAGCCGGCCUGAGCGGGUGACAGGCAAGAUGUGGACGGCAAUACGGCCCAGACUCCUACGGGAGGCAGCAGUGGGGAAUAUUGCACAAUGAGCGGAAGCCUGAUGCAGCAACGCCGCGUGCGGGAUGACGGACUUCGGGUUGUAAACCGCUUUCGCCUGUGACGAAGCGUGGGUGACGGUAAUGGGUAAAGAAGCACCGGCUAACUACGUGCCAGCCGCCGCCGUAA
This 484-nucleotide ribosomal RNA is filed under the name uncultured bacterium. RNAcentral describes it as "partial 16S ribosomal RNA". It matches the Rfam family "Bacterial small subunit ribosomal RNA", at positions 28 to 523 of the family's 1533-position model. The record is from RNAcentral.